AAAACAUUUCCCCGCGCCCCCCCUCCGGUGUUCCAUCGCCCGCCCAGCCCAUGAAGUCCCUCGCCGCCGUUGCCGUCUCUGAGCUCCCCCAUCUCACCACAGCCCAGAUCGCCACCGCAGGUGCCACCACCGCCGCCACCCUCCUUAUACUCGGUGCCACCGGCCUCAUGUCCUUCUUCUACAGCUUCAUCCCUCUCCCUGUUGUCCGCGGCGUUCAGCUCUCCCAGGGCCUUUCUUUCGCCUUUUCUGCCAUCAAAUACAUUCGAUACAAUCAAGAUUUUAUCGCUUCCAAAUCUACCACUCCUCGGUCUUGGCUUGG
This 319-nucleotide unclassified non-coding RNA is filed under the name Hevea brasiliensis (rubber tree). Lineage: Eukaryota; Viridiplantae; Streptophyta; Magnoliopsida; Malpighiales; Euphorbiaceae. The record is from RNAcentral.